GGCCCGCACAAGCGGUGGAGUAUGUGGUUUAAUUCGACGCAACGCGCAGAACCUUACCCAGGCUUGACAUCCUCGGAACCUGAUGGAAACAUCGGGGUGUCCCCUCACGGGGAAGCCGAGUGACAGGUGCUGCAUGGCUGUCGUCAGCUCGUGUCGUGAGAUGUUCGGUUAAGUCCGGCAACGAGCGCAACCCCUGUCGUUAGUUGCCAUCAAUUCGGUUGGGCACUCUAGCGAGACUCCCGGUGUUAAGCCGGCGGAAGAUGGGGAUGACGUCAAGUCCUCAUGGCCCUUAUGUCUGGGGCUACACACGUACUACAAUGGCAUUUACAGAGGGCAGCAAUACGGCAACGUGGAGCCAAUCCCAAAAAGAAUGCCUCAGUUCGGAUUGGAGUCUGCAACUCGACUCCAUGAAGUUGGAAUC
Molecule: ribosomal RNA, 421 nt
Filed under: uncultured bacterium
Lineage: Bacteria
Description: bacterial SSU rRNA
Rfam family: Bacterial small subunit ribosomal RNA
Source: RNAcentral